CAUUAACGUACGCCAAAUUUAGAAUAAUCCAAAAACUCAAAAUAAAAAAUUAAACCACAACCGAACGAGAUUCAGAGCAAUAAAACUACCGAAUUCCAUAAAGAAGAAUAUCUUUUGAGCUAAUACAAAACCAAAACGAGAGAGAAAAUCCGAUACUACUCUCUUAACAUAUAAUAAUAAGUCUGAUUAAUUAAAAACAAAAACAACACAGAAAAUGAAAAACAAAACUUAAGAUCACUUGAUGUUGUCGAAGAACAAACACACUACUUGGAUCUCUGUCUCAUCUUUCGGCGCUUCCUCUUCAACCUCCUCAUACGCUUCUUCUUCCACUGCACAAAUCCAAAAUCCAAAAUCAAAAUCCAAAAUCAAAAUCAAAAUCAAACCAAAAGCAUUGUAAUUUUAACAAUAGAAAAAUUAAUUGCAAUGGAUCUAACCUUGGCACGCAUGAUUCUUGAAAACGGAUGAGAAUUUGAUGAGAGAAAACCUAAUGAGACUGCGCAGAAGCAA
RNAcentral lists this long non-coding RNA (507 nucleotides) under Medicago truncatula (barrel medic). Its description in RNAcentral is "lncRNA gene16774". The record is from RNAcentral. Lineage: Eukaryota; Viridiplantae; Streptophyta; Magnoliopsida; Fabales; Fabaceae.